CUCCAUCUCUCUCUCGCUCGUUCUCCCUCCUUCCCUCUAGCCUAUCCUUCUCUCUCUGUCCAUUUCUCCAUCUAUUUCUCAGAAUUGUCACUUUGAGUCACAGUGUGUGAGUUACAGCCUGGAGCAGUGUGACUGUCCUGGGAGAGUCCAAGAAAGGGAAGUGCCACGUGCUGCCAGCAGCCAGUUCCAGGGUAAGCGUGUAGCCUUGGUUGCCGGGGAGCCGUGUUCAGCCAAGCAGGUCUACUGCGACAAGUUCCUGGUGUUCUAGGCAUCCUGGACACUGACAGGCCCAUCGCCAGGCUGAAGAACUCCUUCCUCCACCUGGUAGACCUGGAUGAGUUUGACAACCUGGCUGAGUGGAUGAAGGCUCACUGGUAGGCUAUUCUCCUGGCCAUCAUGACUCUGUCUGCCGUGAUGGUCAACACCGUGUGUCUGUGUGAAUGCACCCUGUAGCUCCAUUUCUGUCUCUGACUAGGACAAAGACUAUAACCGUCAACUCUCUAACUAUGUUAACAAGUACGUCAUAACUCUGUGCCACGUUCCUCAAUGCAUGUGUGGUGGAAAAGGGGGUGUUGCCAAGUUUGUUUUGCCCUCACUGAUCUACGAGUGGGAUGUUCUUUUUUACAUCCACCUGUCCAUUCAUGCACUUAAUGUACCAUUCUUCCUUCCGUCCAUGGCCUUCCAUCAGUGUCCUUCGCUUAGCAAUUUGAACCUGAAGGCUAAUUUGAUCCUUGACAAUCAUCCAGUUUUCCACCGUAGUGGCAUUGUCUCAUUUGACACAAUGGACCAGCUUGAACCAGUUUGAAGGACACAAGGAUUGCCUCUAGUCACCUGUAUUGUGUAUGUCUGUCCACUGGAGUACUGAGGUAUCUAGAUGAGGUGAGGACUAAAAUAAGCUGUAUAGACAGACAUGGUACACCAGGCAGAAUAGUCCAGUUUUACUCAGAGCUGUUGUUGUUCAUCAGCCAUUGUACUGGAGCUUGAAAAGAGAGUGCCACUGAAAAACAAGAGACCAUUUGAUAUUGGUGGGUCAGCCAAAUGGAAAGGCAUCAGAAUCUAAGGGACAGCACAGUAUUCAUUCCCCUUGACUUAUGACACAUUUUGUUGUCUUACAACCUGAAUUUAAAAUGCAUUAAAUACAUUUUGUUGCUCACCCAUUUACAUACAACACCCCAUAAUGACAAGGUGAUAUUUUUGCACAUUUAUUGAAAAUUAAAUACAGAAAUAUCUCAUUUAAAUAAAUAUUCACACCCCUGAGUCAAUACAUGUUAGAAUCCCUUUUGACAAAGAUUACAGCUGUGAGUCUUUCUGAAUAGGCCUGUAAGAACUUUGCACACCUGGAUUGCACAAUAUUUGCAUAUUAUUAUUAUAUUAAAAAAAUGUGGUUGAUGAUCAUUGCUAAACAUACAUUUUCAAGUCUUGCCAUAGAUUUUCAUGCCGAUUUAAGUCAAAACUGUAACUAGGCCAUUCAGGAACAUUCAAUGUCAUCUUGGUAAGCAACGCCAGUGUAUAUUUGGCAUUGUGUUUUAGGUUAUUGUCCUGCUGAAAGGUGAAUUUGUCUCCUAGUUUCUGUUGGAAAGGAGACUGAACCAGGUUUUCCUCUAGGAUUUAGACUGGCUUAGCUCUAUUCCAUUUAUUUGUAUCCAAAAAAACUCCCUAUUCCUUGCUGGUGACAAGCAUACCCAUAACAUGAUGGAGCCACCAGCAUGCUUGAAAAUAUGAAGAGUGG
This 1729-nucleotide long non-coding RNA is filed under the name Salmo salar (Atlantic salmon). RNAcentral describes it as "lncRNA (ENSSSAG00000096501.1)". The record is from RNAcentral. Lineage: Eukaryota; Metazoa; Chordata; Actinopteri; Salmoniformes; Salmonidae.